GAUGAAGAACGCAGCGAAAUGCGAUAAGUAAUGUGAAUUGCAGAAUUCAGUGAAUCAUCGAAUCUUUGAACGCAUCUUGCGCUCCUUGGUAUUCUGAGGAGCAUGCCUGUUUGAGUGUCAUUAAAUUCUCAACUACACUGACUUUGAAUUGGUGUGGCUUGGAUUUGGGGGGAAAAUUGUUGUGGGCUUUUUGUAUAGUCUGCUCCCCUGAAAUUGAUUAGCGGUACCUUUGUGGAACUGUCUACAGGUGUGAUAAUUAUCUACAUCUUAGACAUCUGCUGGAAUGCUGCUUUCUAAACCUUACUUGUAUUGACAAUCUUGACCUCAAAUCAGGUAGGACUACCCGCUGAACUUAAGCAUAACAAUAAGCGGAGGA
RNAcentral lists this unclassified non-coding RNA (376 nucleotides) under soil metagenome. RNAcentral's name for it is "partial contains 5.8S ribosomal RNA, internal transcribed spacer 2, and large subunit ribosomal RNA". The stretch from base 1 to 120 matches the Rfam family "5.8S ribosomal RNA", at positions 35 to 154 of the family's 154-position model. The record is from RNAcentral.